Rhipicephalus sanguineus (brown dog tick) is the source of this 409-nucleotide long non-coding RNA. RefSeq lists it as uncharacterized. The record is from RefSeq and is a predicted model, not a curated record. NCBI's taxonomy places the organism in Eukaryota, Metazoa, Arthropoda, Arachnida, Ixodida, Ixodidae. The transcript has 3 exons.
ACAGUGUUACCGGCAUCAUACAUUUACCUCUUAUUACUGUGUAUCCAGUUUCUUUGGAGAAAAUAAUGUUUGCUGCGAUACCUGCAACAUUGUUAAUCGCCAUGACAAUGAUUUUGAUAAACCAACACUUCGUCGAAUUAAGCAGCUGGCAUCCUUAUGGCAAUGACUCGCACUACCCUCCACCUUCGAUCGACAGCGGAGGGCUGCAUGGAACAGCCUGCAGUAACCAACCGUGCAACUACAUGAAAAAUGGGGAACACCAAGGGUGCCCCAAGGACUGUAUAUGCAAGCCAAAUGGGCGAACCGAUCAAGACGGACCUGGAGUUUGCGUCGAUAUGCCGUAAAUUUGGUCGGUAGUAGUGCCUCAAAAAAAAAAAGUGAAAUAAAGGGCCUAAGAGUAACACAACAU